GACGAACGCUGGCGGCGUGCUUAACACAUGCAAGUCGAACGGACUGGCUCUGCUUUUGUUGGGUUCUCGUUUGGCGCACGGGUGAGUAACACGUGUGUACCCUCCCCUUUGCUUUUGGAUAACUUCCGGAAACUUCGGCUCAUACCCGAUAUGAUCUCCUGCUUCAUGUUGUGUUUUGUUAAGUUUCGGCGGUUGGGAAUGCACUAGCGUCUUCGCAGCUUGCUGGUGGGGUAGUGUCUUAUCAAGGCUUUGACGGGUAGCCGGCCUGAGAGGGUGACCGGCCACAGUGGGAAUGAGAUACGGCCCAGACUCAUACGGGAGGAAGGAGGGGGGAAUAUUGCACAAUGGGCGGAAGCCUGAUGAAGGAAUGCCGCGUGGGGGAUGACGGUCUUAGGGAUGUAAAACGAUUUCGCCAGUGACGAAGCGUGAGUGACGGUAAUGAGUAAAGAAGCAACGGCUAACUACGUG
Molecule: ribosomal RNA, 468 nt
Filed under: uncultured bacterium
Lineage: Bacteria
Description: partial 16S ribosomal RNA
Rfam family: Bacterial small subunit ribosomal RNA
Source: RNAcentral